Molecule: unclassified non-coding RNA, 346 nt
Filed under: soil metagenome
Description: partial contains 5.8S ribosomal RNA, internal transcribed spacer 2, and large subunit ribosomal RNA
Rfam family: 5.8S ribosomal RNA (bases 1-120)
Source: RNAcentral
GAUGAAGAACGUAGCGAAAUGCGAUACGUAAUGUGAAUUGCAGAAUUCAGUGAAUCAUCGAGUCUUUGAACGCACAUUGCGCCCCCUGGUAUUCCGGGGGGCAUGCCUGUCCGAGCGUCAUUGCUGCCCUCAAGCCCGGCUUGUGUGUUGGGUCUCGUCCCCCUUCCCGGGGGGACGGGCCCGAAAGGCAGCGGCGGCACUGCGUCCGGUCCUCGAGCGUAUGGGGCUUUGUCACCCGCUCUGUAGGCCCGGCCGGCGCUUGCCGAUCAACCAAAACUUUUUUCCAGGUUGACCUCGGAUCAGGUAGGGAUACCCGCUGAACUUAAGCAUAUCAAUAAGCGGAGGA